UACAAGUCAUGUGUAAACCUUCUGAAGUAGC
RNAcentral lists this non-coding RNA (31 nucleotides) under Rattus norvegicus (Norway rat). The record is from RNAcentral. Lineage: Eukaryota; Metazoa; Chordata; Mammalia; Rodentia; Muridae.